RNAcentral lists this long non-coding RNA (1257 nucleotides) under Marmota monax (woodchuck). The record is from RNAcentral. Lineage: Eukaryota; Metazoa; Chordata; Mammalia; Rodentia; Sciuridae.
CAUGAGUUCAAAACCAGCCUCAGCAAUGGCAAGGCACUAAGCAACUCAGUGAGACCCUGUCUCUAAAUAAAAUACAAAAUAGGGCUGGGAUGUGGCUCAGUGGUUAAGUAUCCCCGAGUUCAAACCCCAGUACCCCCGCCAAAAAAAAUUAGGGAUAAUAGAAACAUAUCUCAACAUUAUAAAAGCUAUAUAUAUUAAGACCAAGGUCAACAUCAUUCUAAAUGGGAGAAAAGUUGAAAGCAUUCCCUCUAAAAACUGGAACACAACAGGGAUGCCCUCUUUCACCACUCUUAUUUAACACGGUCUUUGAAAAUCUGGCCAGAGCAAUUAGACAGAUAAAAGAAAUUAAAGGGAUAUGGAUAGGAAAAGAAGAACUCAAACUAUCACUAUUUGCCAACAACAUGAAUCUAUACUUAGAAGAUCUGAAAAAUUCUAUCAGAAAACUUCUAGAACUAAUAAAUGAAUUCAGCAAAGUAGCAGGAUAUAAAACCAAUACCCAUAAAUCAAAUGCAUUUCUGUAUAUCAGUAAUAAAUCCUCUGAUAGAGAAACUAGGAAAACAACCCCAUUUACAAUAGCCUCAAAAAAAAUAUAAAGUACUUGGGAAUCAACAAAAGAGGUGAAAGACCUCUUCAAUGAAAACUACAGAACAUUAAAAAAAGAAAUUAAAGAAGACCUUAGAAGAUGGAAAGAUCUACCUUGUUCUUGGAUAGGCAGAAUUAAUAUUGUGUCAAGAUAACCAUUUAAAUUCAAUUUAAAUGCAAUUCCAAUCAAAAUCCCAAUGAUAUUCCUUAUAGAAAUAGAAAUAGCAAUCAUGAAAUUCAUCUGAAAACAUUAGACUCAGCCAAAGCAAUCCUUAGCAAGAAGAGUGAAGCAGGUGGCAUCACAAUACCAGACCUUAAACUAUACUGCAGAGCAACAAAAACAAAAAUAGCAUGGUAUUGGCAGCAACAUAGACUGGUAGACCAAUGGCACAGAAUAGAGGACACAGAGACAAACCCACAUAAAUACAGUUAUCUCAUACUAGACAAAGGUGCCAAAAACAUACAUUGGAGAAAAAAAUAGCCUCUUCAACAAAUGGUGCUGGGAAAACUAGAAAUCCAUAUGCAGCAAAAUGAAAUUAAGCCCCUAUCUCUCAUCAUGCACAAAACUCAACUCAAAGUGGAUCAAGGACUAGGAAUUAGACCAGAAACCCUACACCUAAUUGAAGAAAAAGUAGGCCUAAAUCUUCAUCAUGUCAGACUAGGCCCCAACUUCCU